RNAcentral lists this ribosomal RNA (293 nucleotides) under uncultured bacterium. RNAcentral's name for it is "partial 16S ribosomal RNA". It matches the Rfam family "Archaeal small subunit ribosomal RNA", at positions 455 to 747 of the family's 1478-position model. The record is from RNAcentral.
GUGCCAGCCGCCGCGGUAAUACCGGCAGCUCAAGUGAUGGCCGCUGUUAUUGGGCCUAAAGCGUCCGUAGCUGGCCGCACAAGUCCGUCGGGAAAUCCGCCCGCUCAACGGGCGGCCGUCCGGCGGAACCUGUGUGGCUUGGGACCGGGAGGCCUGAGGGGUACGAUCGGGGUAGGAGUGAAAUCCCAUAAUCCCGCACGGACCACCGAUGGCGAAAGCACUUCGCGAAAACGGAUCCGACAGUGAGGGACGAAAGCCAGGGUCUCCAACCGGAUUAGAAACCCUUGUAAUCC